Molecule: ribosomal RNA, 440 nt
Filed under: uncultured bacterium
Lineage: Bacteria
Description: partial 16S ribosomal RNA
Rfam family: Bacterial small subunit ribosomal RNA
Source: RNAcentral
CCUACGGGAGGCAGCAGUGGGGGAUAUUGCACAAUGGGGGGAACCCUGAUGCAGCGACGCCGCGUGGGUGAAGAAGCGUUUCGGCGUGUAAAGCUCUGUCAGCAGGGAAGAAAAUGGCGGUACCUGCAGAAGAAGCCCCGGCUAACUACGUGCCCGCAGCCGCGGUAAUACGUCGGGGGCCAGCGUUAUUCGGAUUUACUGGGUGGAAAGGGGGCGCAGACGGCGAGGCAAGGCAGGAGUGAAAGCCCCGGGCCCAACCCCGGGACUGCUCUUGGAACUGCGUGGCGGGAGUGCAGGAGGGGCAGGCGGAAUUCCUGGUGUAGCGGUGAAAUGCGUAGAUAUUAGGAGGAACACCGGUGGCGAAGGCGGCCUGCUGGACUGCAACUGACGUUGAGGCCCGAAAGCGUGGGGAGCAAACAGGAUUAGAUACCCUAGUAGUC